Molecule: ribosomal RNA, 840 nt
Filed under: uncultured Chloroflexota bacterium
Lineage: Bacteria; Bacillati; Chloroflexota
Description: bacterial SSU rRNA
Rfam family: Bacterial small subunit ribosomal RNA
Source: RNAcentral
CGUAGGACACAAGCGUUAUCCGGAUUUACUGGGCGUAAAGCGUCUGCAGGCGGACAGGUAAGUUGGGCGUGAAAGCUCCGGGCCCAACCCGGAGAGGUCGUUCAAUACUGCGUGUCUAGAGGGUGUCAGAGGGGAGUGGAAUUUCCGGAGUAGCGGUAAAAUGCGCAGAGAUCGGAAAGAACACCAAUGGCGAAGGCAGCUCCCUGGGGCAACCCUGACGCUAAGAGACGAAAGCUAGGGGAGCGAACAGGAUUAGAGACCCUGGUAGUCCUAGCCCUAAACGAUGGAUGCUGGAUGUGGGGCCAUAGCGCUCCGUGUCGAAGCGAACGCGUUAAGCAUCCCGCCUGGGGACUACGGCCGCAAGGUUAAAACUCAAACGAAUUGACGGGACCCCGCACAAGCAGCGGAGCGUGUGGUUUAAUUCGAUGCUACACGAAGAACCUUACCUGGGUUUGACAUCUAGGUGGUAGUGAAGCGAAAGCGGAGCGACCCUUCGGGGAGCCUAGACAGGUGCUGCAUGGCUGUCGUCAGCUCGUGCCGUGAGGUGUCGGGUUAAGUCCCGUAACGAGCGCAACCCUUGCCCUUAGUUACAAGUGUCUAAGGGGACUGCCGGCGGGAAGCCGGAGGAAGGUGGGGAUGACGUCAAGUCAGCAUGGCCCUUAUGUCCAGGGCUACACACACGCUACAAUGGUCAGUACAAAGGGUAGCGAAGUCGCGAGGCGGAGCGAAUCUCAACAAAGCUGAUCGUAGUUCGGAUUGCAGGCUGCAACCCGCCUGCAUGAAGCUGGAGUUGCUAGUAACCGCGCGUCAGCCAUAGUGCGGUGAAUACGUACCCGGGGC